Molecule: non-coding RNA, 793 nt
Filed under: Calineuria stigmatica
Lineage: Eukaryota; Metazoa; Arthropoda; Insecta; Plecoptera; Perlidae
Description: 12S ribosomal RNA
Rfam family: Microsporidia small subunit ribosomal RNA (bases 376-786)
Source: RNAcentral
AGAAAGUUUUAUUCUUGCUUCUAGAUUUACUUCAGUUUUGUUUUACAUGUAAGUUUUGGCGGGGAGUUAGGCAAUUUAUCUUGAGGAUAAUUUGUUGAUUUACGAUCGCAGUAUUUAAUUUUAUAAAUCGGGGGAAUUCGGAUUUAGCAAAUUUGUUAGUAUCGGCUAAAGUCGUGCCAGCCGCCGCGGUUACACGAAGGAUGCGAGUAAAUAUUAUUGGUUAGUAGUUGAAUUGUUAGUUAGAGAGUAUUUUUGUAUUUGUUAGGUGGAAUUUUAAAUUAGGAUAAUUUCUUAAAAAGUUUUUGAAGCUGUGAAAUUUAAGUGGUAAACUAGGAUUAGAUACCCUAUUAUUUUAAAUGUGAAUAAAUGAGGCUUGAGUAGUAAUAGAUAUGUUCUUGAAACUCAAAGAAUUUGGCGGUGCUUUAGUCCUUUCGGAGGAACCUGCCCCGUAAUCGAUAGUCCACGUUAGAUCUUACUUAAUUUUGUAGUCAACUUGUAUACCGCCGUCGUCGGAAUGUCCUUUUAGGGAAACAAUUUUCUAAAACUUUGAAUAAAGUAGAUGUCAGGUCAAGGUGCAGUAAAUGGUUAAGUGGAGGUGGGUUACAAUAAGUGGAUUUAUGACGGAUAAUGAUUUGAAAUUGAGUUGUUAGAAGGUGGAUUUGAUUGUAAUUUUGGUGAUAAAGUUAGGUUGAUUUUGGCUCUAAAGCAUGCACACAUCGCCCGUCGCUCUCGUUAUUUAAGGCGAGAUAAGUCGUAACAUAGUAGAUGUACCGGAAGGUGUAUCUGGAAAGUU